GCGGCAACAGCUCAAAUUUGAAAUCUGGCCUCUUGGGGUCCGAGUUGUAAUUUGUAGAGGAUGUUUCGGGUACCGCCUCGGUUUAAAUUUCUUGGAACAGAAUGUCAAAGAGGGUGAGAAUCCCGUCUUGGACCGGCGGUAGGGCCUAUGUGAAACUCCUUCGACGAGUCGAGUUGUUUGGGAAUGCAGCUCAAAAUGGGUGGUAAAUUUCAUCUAAAGCUAAAUAUUGGCCAGAGACCGAUAGCGCACAAGUAGAGUGAUCGAAAGAUGAAAAGCACUUUGAAAAGAGAGUUAAACAGUAUGUGAAAUUGUUGAAAGGGAAGCGCUUGCAACCAGACUUGAGCGCGGCGGUUCCCCCUUGCUUCUGCUUGGGUUACUCCGCCGUGUCCAGGCCAACAUCGGUUCUGGGGGUCGGUCAAAGGCUCUGGGAAUGUAUCUACCCACGGGUAGACUUAUAGACCAGGGUGUCAUGCGACCUCCCGGGACCGAGGAACGCGCUUCGGCUCGGAUGUUGGCGUAAUGGUUGUCAGCGACCCGUCUU
RNAcentral lists this ribosomal RNA (541 nucleotides) under Fonsecaea pedrosoi. Its description in RNAcentral is "LSU rRNA". It matches the Rfam family "Eukaryotic large subunit ribosomal RNA", at positions 98 to 655 of the family's 3401-position model. Lineage: Eukaryota; Fungi; Ascomycota; Eurotiomycetes; Chaetothyriales; Herpotrichiellaceae. The record is from RNAcentral.